This is a long non-coding RNA of Epinephelus fuscoguttatus (brown-marbled grouper), 379 nucleotides long. RefSeq lists it as uncharacterized. The record is from RefSeq and is a predicted model, not a curated record. NCBI's taxonomy places the organism in Eukaryota, Metazoa, Chordata, Actinopteri, Perciformes, Serranidae. The transcript is spliced from 3 exons.
CCUCAGCAGCCUCUCUGCCACUCUGCAGAAGUCUACCAUCACCCUAGCAGACGCACACGCCUCCCUGCUUGCCACCCAGGCUGUGCUGGAGAAAUACGAAACCAGGGCAGGGCCAAACGAUGUCCUGGUCGAAAGUCAACCAGCGUCACAGAGAACAGUGUCCUGAUGUGCUUGACUUGAUUGACUUGGUGCUAGUGAUCCCUGCCUCCACUGCUGACUGCGAACGGGGGUUCAAUACAAUGAAGCAGGUCAAGUCUGACUGGAGGUCCAACCUCACAUCCUCAUCACUGUCAGAUCUCAUGACAGUCCAGCUUUGCUCACCAGAUAUAAAUAAUUUUGAUCCCUCUGCUGCCAUUGACCUGUGGCACAGCGACACCGU